UACGUAGGGGUCUAGCGUUGUCCGGAAUCAUUGGGCGUAAAGAGCUCGUAGGCGGCCUGUCGCGUCGGAUGUGAAAGCCCGGGGCUUAACCCCGGGUCUGCAUUCGAUACGGGCAGGCUGGAGUUCGGUAGGGGAGAUCGGAAUUCCUGGUGUAGCGGUGAAAUGCGCAGAUAUCAGGAGGAACACCGGUGGCGAAGGCGGAUCUCUGGGCCGAUACUGACGCUGAGGAGCGAAAGCGUGGGGAGCGAACAGG
RNAcentral lists this ribosomal RNA (253 nucleotides) under uncultured bacterium. Its description in RNAcentral is "partial 16S ribosomal RNA". It matches the Rfam family "Bacterial small subunit ribosomal RNA", at positions 524 to 776 of the family's 1533-position model. The record is from RNAcentral.